UCCUAUCCCUCCGCUUGCGCAAGCGUUUUCCUUCUGUUUUGCAUGUUUUGUUUUGUUAUCGUGCUUCGCAUUUUCCGUUUCGAUUUGUUUUGUUUCCGCAUUUUGUCUGUCCGCUCUCACACACCCGCAAAAGAAAGCAAUCCGCCGUUCGUUGCUGUCAAAAAAGCACGCAAAAUCGUUCGCGGCCCCCGCAGCUAGGAAGAAAGAAGAGGAGAAAAUCGAGGAAACUCAACCGAACGACGACGACGGACGAUUUUAGUGUUGAGCUCUGCUGAUUGUGUGUGAUGAUGAACCGCGCUCGCUGAAAGUGUUGUUCGGGAAGUGAAAAAUUUGCAGUAAUUUUCUUUUCUCCGGAUCGGAAGUGUGCGCACGGAGUUCGGGUGAUUCGCGAUUCGCAGCGGAUAUUGGAAUAUUGCAUCGGCAAGUGGCCCCGGAAGAGUCUGAAAAGUCGAACGCCCGUGAUUUGUCAAAAGUUGUGUUCUUUCGUGUGUGAGGCAGCAAGGUCUUGCUCGUGACUGCCGAAAUCUAACGGGGUUCUUUCCGCUGCUGAGAGACCUACUUUUCGUCUUGCCGUGCCGUGUUGAAAUUAUUCGCUGAACACAUCGCUCGCACCUCGAUUCAACCCCUGGAUCCGCCUACGAGAAAACACACCGAGUGUACAGAGUGUAAGCAGUCGAGAAAAAAAAGAGUGAAGAAGCCGUAACUCGCGCGCAGGAGGGUGCUUCCGCGGAAAAAGUGGACCCCUUUAUUUGGUAGUGGAAAUUUUUGAUUCGCGGUUGCGGUCGUCGCGGUGGUGCUCUUGCUCACAAAAGUCGCUGGCUGGUGAAACAAACCGAAAAUUAGUGACGGUGAUCUAAGCGUGAAGGAAUUGCAGUGUGUCUCUGUGAAAGUGCGCGUGUGUAGGUACGUUGAGAAGAAUAUUCCUGGUGAAAUUGCCGGAAACCGAGCGGAGUCUGCCCACACGUGUCGAACCUAUUCGAUCAUCACCAUCCACAUCUCACGAACCUUUAGUGACGGGAAGCUUCUCCGUGGGGUACGCAAUACCUCUGCGGAGCCGGGAGCUGACCACACGAAACGGACGUCAAGCUGGAUAACUCAAUCGUAAACCGGUACCUUAGCGUGGCUGAUGACGAGUUCGUCUGGGCGGUAGAUCAGGACGUCCGGGAGUUCAUCGAGAAGGCGAAUCAGAAGAGCGUGCUAAUCUUCCCACCGGUAAACAACUAUCGGCGCUUCCUGAUCCACAAGGUGUGCGAAAGUCUCGCCGCGGACCAUGAGUUGGUAACGUUCUCGAUUGGGGUCGGCAGCGAGCGGCGCACGGUGGUCUGCUAUCGUCAUCAACUGCUGCGGGACGUCAAGGCGACCUCAACCAAAAGGUGAGUCACAUUUUCGAAUGAUGAGCGAGCGGGACGGUUCGUUCUGCCCUGUAUGAGA
Molecule: long non-coding RNA, 1431 nt
Organism: Aedes albopictus (Asian tiger mosquito)
Lineage: Eukaryota; Metazoa; Arthropoda; Insecta; Diptera; Culicidae
Exons: 3
Source: RefSeq, a predicted model, not a curated record